This 28-nucleotide non-coding RNA is filed under the name Rattus norvegicus (Norway rat). Lineage: Eukaryota; Metazoa; Chordata; Mammalia; Rodentia; Muridae. The record is from RNAcentral.
UGCACACAAGUGGAUCACACUUAAGCUA